UACGUAGGGUGCAAGCGUUAAUCGGAAUUACUGGGCGUAAAGCGUGCGCAGGCGGUUAUGCAAGACAGAUGUGAAAUCCCCGGGCUCAACCUGGGAACUGCAUUUGUGACUGCAUGGCUAGAGUACGGUAGAGGGGGAUGGAAUUCCGCGUGUAGCAGUGAAAUGCGUAGAGAUGUGGAGGAACACCGAUGGCGAAGGCAGCCCCCUGGGCUAACACUGACGCUCAUGCACGAAAGCGUGGGGAGCAAACAGG
This 253-nucleotide ribosomal RNA is filed under the name uncultured bacterium. Its description in RNAcentral is "partial 16S ribosomal RNA". It matches the Rfam family "Bacterial small subunit ribosomal RNA", at positions 524 to 776 of the family's 1533-position model. The record is from RNAcentral.